RNAcentral lists this ribosomal RNA (279 nucleotides) under uncultured bacterium. RNAcentral describes it as "partial 16S ribosomal RNA". It matches the Rfam family "Bacterial small subunit ribosomal RNA", at positions 506 to 784 of the family's 1533-position model. The record is from RNAcentral.
UGCCAGCCGCCGCGGUAAUACGGAGGGUGCAAACGUUGCUCGGAAUCAUUGGGCGUAAAGCGCGUGUAGGCGGCAUGUUAAGUCAAGUGUGAAAGCCCCCGGCUUAACCGGGGAAGUGCGCUUGAUACUGGCAAGCUUGAGUAUGGGAGAGGGUAGCGGAAUUCCCGGUGUAGAGGUGAAAUUCAUAGAUAUCGGGAGGAACACCAGUGGCGAAGGCGGCUACCUGGACCAAUACUGACGCUGAGACGCGAAAGCGUGGGUAGCAAACAGGAUUAGAUA